GCUGUGAUGGCCAAGUGGUUGGACGUUGGACUAGAAUUCCAAUAGGUUUCCCCGCAUGGGUUCAAACCCUGCUCACAGCC
Molecule: transfer RNA, 80 nt
Filed under: Pelodiscus sinensis (Chinese soft-shelled turtle)
Lineage: Eukaryota; Metazoa; Chordata; Testudines; Trionychidae
Rfam family: tRNA
About the family: Transfer RNA (tRNA) molecules are approximately 80 nucleotides in length. Their secondary structure includes four short double-helical elements and three loops (D, anti-codon, and T loops).
Source: Rfam by way of RNAcentral